This is a non-coding RNA of Perkinsus olseni, 86 nucleotides long. NCBI's taxonomy places the organism in Eukaryota, Perkinsozoa, Perkinsida, Perkinsidae. The record is from the annotation of a GenBank genome assembly.
GGCUGUGUGGUCUAGUGGUAUGAUUCUCGCUUAGGGACCCUAAGUAUGGGUGCGAGAGAUCCCGAGUUCAAUUCUCGGCACAGCCC